UGGGGAAUUUUGCACAAUGGGGGAAACCCUGAUGCAGCGACGCCGCGUGAUUUAGAAGGCCUUCGGGUUGUAAAAAUCUUUUCUAUGGGAAGAAAAUGACAGUACCAUAGGAAUAAGAACCGGCUAAUUACGUGCCAGCAGCCGCGGUAAUACGUAAGGUCCGAGCGUUGUCCGGAAUCAUUGGGCGUAAAGGGUACGUAGGCGGGUAAGCAAGUUAGAAGUGAAAUCCUAUAGCUCAACUAUAGUAAGCUUUUAAAACUGCUCAUCUUGAGGUAUGGAAGGGAAAGUGGAAUUCCUAGUGUAGCGGUGAAAUGCGCAGAUAUUAGGAGGAAUACCGGUGGCGAAGGCGACUUUCUGGCCAUAACCUGACGCUGAGGUACGAAAGCGUGGGUAGCAAACAGG
RNAcentral lists this ribosomal RNA (402 nucleotides) under bacterium. RNAcentral's name for it is "partial 16S ribosomal RNA". It matches the Rfam family "Bacterial small subunit ribosomal RNA", at positions 355 to 776 of the family's 1533-position model. The record is from RNAcentral. RNAcentral also lists the same sequence under 1 other name.